UCCGGGGGGAGCUAUCGUUGUUCGGAAUUACUGGGCGUAAAGCGCACGUAGGCGGCUUUUUAAGUCAGAGGUGAAAUCCCGGGGCUCAACCCCGGAACUGCCUUUGAAACUGGAGAGCUAGAAUCUUGGAGAGGCGAGUGGAAUUCCGAGUGUAGAGGUGAAAUUCGUAGAUAUUCGGAAGAACACCAGUGGCGAAGGCGACUCGCUGGACAAGUAUUGACGCUGAGGUGCGAAAGCGUGGGGAGAAAACAGG
Molecule: ribosomal RNA, 253 nt
Filed under: uncultured bacterium
Lineage: Bacteria
Description: partial 16S ribosomal RNA
Rfam family: Bacterial small subunit ribosomal RNA
Source: RNAcentral